Molecule: long non-coding RNA, 1063 nt
Organism: Drosophila ficusphila
Lineage: Eukaryota; Metazoa; Arthropoda; Insecta; Diptera; Drosophilidae
Exons: 3
Source: RefSeq, a predicted model, not a curated record
CACACUCAUCGCAAGAGCGUGAAGAGAGGGCUCUGCGAUUUUACAAUUUUUCCCUAAGGUAUUCAGUUGUUUCCACCUGUUUGCGUUGGUUCUUAAGAACUUAAAUAUGGAACUUUGAAAUAAAGCUUCAAUAUAAUAAACAAGAAAGGAAGCUAACCUCGGCUGCAAAAUCAAGGAUUUAUGACAGGGACUUGGGACUACUUGGAGUGAUCUUUAAGAUGCAUUGAAUCAAUAACCCAAAGAGGGUAAAGUGUAAAUGAUGCGGAUAUAGUGGUUGCAGUGAUUAUCUAACUUCAAGAAGACGAAAGAUUGCAGUGCACCAAGGUUUUUUCGCAGUGAGUACAUGAAUUAGACAGAAAAUAAUUAAGUUAUUUAUUUAAACAUUAAAAAUACGACUUAAGUUAGGCUACCUAUUUUAAAUAAAGAAAUCAAGCAUAAGUUAAAGAUUACAAAGUUACGAUAACAACAACGUUAUCAUUUUUUGCAUUUAUUUAUAUAUAUUUUUAUGUAUAUCUCGAUCUUUCCGAUGGCAGCUAUAUGAUACUUAUCCAAUUUUGAUAUACCUAUCCAAUUUUGAUAAGAUUUAAUUCUAAAUUCGAUAGUAGUCUAUAGAUAGGUGUCUCCUUCAAUGCUUUGCAACCUUCCAACUGAAAUUAUAAUACCCACUGCAAGGGUAUAAUAAUGUACGUUACCAAAAGAUCGGACCUCACACAUAUUUUUUGAAGGGUGAAAUUAGGUGUUAAGAAGGGUACUUGAAAUAUAUCAAGUGUGUAUAAAAACAUUAUGUGAAAGAUAUAGUGGGUCGAAAUCAGAGCGGCAUUCGACGGGUAUCUUUCUUUUGACAGACGUUGAAGAACUCGUUCGAUGUUAGCGAAUUUUUCGGCAGAUGGCGCUUCAAGAGCUUUUCUACACCCCAAUUCACACAGAUCUACAAAAAAUGGGUUUAUAUGAUCGGUUUACCCUAUAUUUCCUUAGCAGAAGCUCCACGAUAGUAUGUUGUAUAUAAUUUCUUUAUUUCCUCCAAGAAUGUACUAUUUAUAAAUACAAACGUGAUUAUAAAAUA